AACGAACGCUGGCGGCAUGCCUAACACAUGCAAGUCGAACGAGACCUUCGGGUCUAGUGGCGCACGGGUGCGUAACGCGUGGGAACCUGCCCUUAGGUUCGGAAUACCUCCCCGAAAGGGGUGCUAAUGCCGGAUAAUUUCUUCUGACCAAAGAUUUAUCGCCUUUGGAUGGGCCCGAGUUCGAUUAGCUUGUUGGUAGGGUAAAAGCCUACCACGGCGAGGAUCCAUAGCUGGUCUGAGAGGAUGAUCAGCGACACUGGGACUGAGACACGGCCCAGACUCCUACGCGAGGCAGCAGAGGGGAAUACUGGAAAAGGGGCGAAAGCCUGAACCAGCAAGGCCGCGUGAGUGAUGAAGGCCUUAGGGAUGUAAAGCUCGUUUACACGGGACGAUAAUGACAGUACCGGGAGAAUAAGCUCCGGCUAACUCCGUG
This 433-nucleotide ribosomal RNA is filed under the name uncultured bacterium. Its description in RNAcentral is "partial 16S ribosomal RNA". It matches the Rfam family "Bacterial small subunit ribosomal RNA", at positions 29 to 507 of the family's 1533-position model. The record is from RNAcentral.